UAGAGAGAGACAUGCGCGCAUAUCAAUAAGCGGAGGAAAAGAAAACUAACAAGGAUUCCCUUAGUAACGGCGAGUGAAGCGGGAAGAGCUCAAAUUUGAAAUCUUCAAGGUUUUUACCUUGACGAAUUGUAGUUUAAAGAAGUGUUUUUCUGCUGAAGUUUUUGGUAAAAGUUCUUUGGAAUAGGACAUCAUAGAGGGUGAGAAUCCCGUAUUUGACCAUUAUUUUCAGCUUUGUGAUACACUUUCAAAGAGUCGGAUUGUUUUGGGAAUGCAGUCCAAAAUGGGUGGUAAAUUUCAUCUAAAGCUAAAUAUUGGCGAGAGGACCGAUAGCGAACAAGUACCGUGAGGGAAAGAUGAAAAGAACUUUGAAAAGAGAGUUAAACAGUACGUGAAAUUGUCCAAAAGGGAAGCGUUUUGACACCAGUGUUGUUUUCUCGAAAAGUCAAUUAAAAAAUGGCUCGAUUUUGUAUUGCUUGAGACCUUAAAAAGCUCACUGUACAUUUUUUCGUGUCUUUUUUUAAUGCACUUUUUCGUUUAACAAGUCAACAUCAGUUUUCUUUUGUUGUAAAAAGGGUCAUUGGAAGGUGGCUUUUCUUUUCGGAGAAAGUGUUUUAUAGCCUUUGGCCUCUGCAAUCGGAGAGGACUGAGGUCUGCAGCGUAGACUCUUCGGGGUUAGAUACAUUUGUGCUAAGUUAUAGCUUUUUUAUAGACAACUUGUUGACUAUAAUUAGUCUUGUAGCUUACUCGCUUAUGCUAUUUUACCUACGCUUAGGAUGUUGAGUCGUAGAGCACGCAG
RNAcentral lists this ribosomal RNA (796 nucleotides) under uncultured Neocallimastigales. RNAcentral describes it as "partial large subunit ribosomal RNA". It matches the Rfam family "Eukaryotic large subunit ribosomal RNA", at positions 23 to 652 of the family's 3401-position model. Lineage: Eukaryota; Fungi; Neocallimastigomycota; Neocallimastigomycetes; Neocallimastigales. The record is from RNAcentral.